Non-coding RNA from Rhinopithecus bieti (black snub-nosed monkey), 65 nucleotides. NCBI's taxonomy places the organism in Eukaryota, Metazoa, Chordata, Mammalia, Primates, Cercopithecidae. The record is from Ensembl.
GCCCUCGUAGUAUAAACUAAUACACCGGUCUUGUAAACCGGAAAUGGAUAUCUCUCCCCAGGGUA